AGAGUUUGAUCCUGGCUCAGAAUGAACGCUGGCGGCGUGUUUAAGACAUGCAAGUCGAACGGAGUAACAUGAGUAGCAAUACAAGUGUUGCUCAGUGGCGCACGGGUGCGUAACACGUGAGUUACAUGCCCUGCAGAGAGGGAUAGCCCAGGGAAACUUGGAUUAAUACCUCAUGGUCUCGCAAGAGUAAAGAUGGCCGUAAGGCUGUCACUGCAGGAUUGGCUCGCGGCCUAUCAGCUAGUUGGUGAGGUAACGGCUCACCAAGGCUACGACGGGUACCUGGUCUGAGAGGACGAUCAGGCACACUGGAACUGAGACACGGUCCAGACACCUACGGGUGGCAGCAGUCGAGAAUCAUUCACAAUGGGGGCAACCCUGAUGGUGCAACGCCGCGUGGAGGAAGAAGGUCUUCGGAUUGUAAACUCCUGUCAUCUAGGAGCAAGGCAUGGUGGUGAAUAGCCAACAUGAUUGAUAGUACUAGAAGAGGAAGGGACGGCUAACUUCGUGCCAGCAGCCGCGGUAAUACGAAGGUCCCGAGCGUUAUUCGGAAUCACUGGGCGUAAAGGGAGCGUAGGCGGCGUGGAAAGUCAGAUGUGAAAUCCCAGAGCUCAACUCUGGAACUGCAUCCGAUACUACCAUGCUAGAGUAUUGGAGGGGUAACUGGAAUUCUCGGUGUAGCAGUGAAAUGCGUAGAUAUCGAGAGGAACACUCGUGGCGAAAGCGAGUUACUGGACAAUUACUGACGCUGAGGCUCGAAAGCUAGGGGAGCAAAAGGGAUUAGAUACCCCUGUAGUCCUAGC
RNAcentral lists this ribosomal RNA (800 nucleotides) under uncultured bacterium. RNAcentral's name for it is "bacterial SSU rRNA". It matches the Rfam family "Bacterial small subunit ribosomal RNA", at positions 8 to 800 of the family's 1533-position model. The record is from RNAcentral.